Molecule: ribosomal RNA, 497 nt
Filed under: Staphylococcus sp.
Lineage: Bacteria; Bacillati; Bacillota; Bacilli; Caryophanales; Staphylococcaceae
Description: bacterial SSU rRNA
Source: RNAcentral
GGAUGAACGCUGGCGGCGUGCCUAAUACAUGCAAGUCGAGCGAACAGACGAGGAGCUUGCUCCUCYGACGUUAGCGGCGGACGGGUGAGUAACACGUGGAUAACCUACCUAUAAGACUGGGAUAACUUCGGGAAACCGGAGCUAAUACCGGAUAAYAUGUUGAACCGCAUGGUUCAACAGUGAAAGACGGUCUUGCUGUCACUUAUAGAUGGAUCCGCGCCGCAUUAGCUAGUUGGUAAGGUAACGGCUUACCAAGGCAACGAUGCGUAGCCGACCUGAGAGGGUGAUCGGCCACACUGGAACUGAGACACGGUCCAGACUCCUACGGGAGGCAGCAGUAGGGAAUCUUCCGCAAUGGGCGAAAGCCUGACGGAGCAACGCCGCGUGAGUGAUGAAGGUCUUCGGAUCGUAAAACUCUGUUAUUAGGGAAGAACAAAUGUGUAAGUAACUAUGCACGUCUUGACGGUACCUAAUCAGAAAGCCACGGCUAACUACGU